This 391-nucleotide ribosomal RNA is filed under the name uncultured bacterium. RNAcentral describes it as "partial 16S ribosomal RNA". It matches the Rfam family "Bacterial small subunit ribosomal RNA", at positions 523 to 918 of the family's 1533-position model. The record is from RNAcentral.
AUACGUAGGGGGCAAGCGUUAUCCGGAUUUACUGGGUGUAAAGGGAGCGUAGACGGCAUGGCAAGUCUGAUGUGAAAACCCGGGGCUCAACCCCGGGAUUGCAUUGGAAACUGUCAAGCUAGAGUGCAGGAGAGGUAAGUGGAAUUCCAAGUGGAGCGGUGGAAUGCGUAGAUAUUUGGAGGAACACCAGUGGCGAAGGCGGCUUACUGGGCCGUUACUGACGCUGAGGCACGAAAGCGUGGGGAGCAAACAGGAUUAGAUACCCUGGUAGUCCACGCCGUAAACGAUGAGCACUAAGUGUCGGAUGAAUUUUCGGCGCUGCAGUUAACACAAUAAGUGCUCCGCCUGGGGAGUACGGUCGCAAGACUGAAACUCAAAUGAAUUGACGGGG